RNAcentral lists this ribosomal RNA (429 nucleotides) under uncultured Leptospirillum sp. RNAcentral describes it as "bacterial SSU rRNA". It matches the Rfam family "Bacterial small subunit ribosomal RNA", at positions 355 to 776 of the family's 1533-position model. Lineage: Bacteria; Pseudomonadati; Nitrospirota; Nitrospiria; Nitrospirales; Nitrospiraceae. The record is from RNAcentral.
UGAGGAAUAUUGCGCAAUGGGGGAAACCCUGACGCAGCAACGCCGCGUGUGGGAAGAAGGCCUUCGGGUCGUAAACCACUUUUACUCGGGACGAAAAAGGGAUAUCAAACAAAUAUCCCCGAUGACGGUACCGUGAGAAUAAGCCACGGCUAACUCUGUGCCAGCAGCCGCGGUAAGACAGAGGUGGCAAGCGUUGUUCGGAAUUACUGGGCGUAAAGAGUCUGUAGGUGGUUUGUCAAGUCUUUGGUGAAAGGCCGUAGCUUAACUAUGGGAAUGCCAAAGAGACUGGCAGGCUGGAGGCUGGGAGAGGGAAGCGGAAUUUCUGGUGUAGCGGUGAAAUGCGUAGAUAUCAGAAGGAAGGCCGGUGGCGAAGGCGGCUUCCUGGAACAGUCCUGACACUGAGAGACGAAAGCGUGGGGAGCAAACAGG